This 253-nucleotide ribosomal RNA is filed under the name uncultured bacterium. Its description in RNAcentral is "partial 16S ribosomal RNA". It matches the Rfam family "Bacterial small subunit ribosomal RNA", at positions 524 to 776 of the family's 1533-position model. The record is from RNAcentral.
UACAGAGGGGGCGAGCGUUGUUCGGAAUUACUGGGCGUAAAGGGCGCGUAGGCGGCCUGCUAAGUCGAACGUGAAAUCCCCGAGCUCAACUCGGGAACUGCGUCCGAUACUGGCAGGCUUGAAUCCGGGAGAGGGAUGCGGAAUUCCAGGUGUAGCGGUGAAAUGCGUAGAUAUCUGGAGGAACACCGGUGGCGAAGGCGGCAUCCUGGACCGGCAUUGACGCUGAGGCGCGAAAGCCAGGGGAGCAAACGGG